GUUGGUUAUGGAGCUGAUUUAGGCCUGGCUGGUUGGCUUACAGCCACACCAGCUGUAGUGUAGCCCCAGGACAGGAAAUGGCUUUUCUUUGGUUGAGUGGAUGGAAGUUUAUGGACCGUGAAGGCAGCCGAAUCGCCUCCAAAACCUCCUGAUGCCGGUUGCCUUGCUGGCUAAUGGUUAUACAGCUUCCCCUCAUGUUUCCAGCAACUCUUUACACCUCCCCUUGUUUUCCACCUUGUCUCCCAUCCCUGACCUCAGAGUGCCACCUCCCCCUCGUGCAUCACUUCUCCUGUUUUUGUGCAAAAGUGGCAGCCUGCGUUCCCGGCAGAGAAACUCCCUGUCAGAGCACAAACGGUGAGCUGGAUGCAGUCGGCAGCAGGGUUUCUCAGCCGCCCCGCGUGUCCUCUAAAUCUGCUGAGCCCCGAAAAAAAAAAAAAAAAGCAAACUCUUUCUCUCUCCCGUCGAAAACUCACAAAGGGGCGCAGGAGUUGCUCUUGAACGGCGCGACACGACAGCUCCGCACGCGGGAAGCGCCGCCUCCUGCCAGCCUCUGCGAGUGGAGCAGUCAGGAGCUUCACUCUUUCAACUGGAAACCUCAUUUCCACCACAGAGGAAGGAGCCAGCUCUCCCACUUCCAGCUCCCACAUUUGCAUUUCUGCUUAACAAACAAUCAGGCAGAAAGCCGGCGCUCUUCUCUCUCAUUACCAGCAAACACACAGCCAGAACAAACCGAACUACGACCAGGUGAUGGGCAGAGGUGGGUACAGUGGCCAGAAAUUGUUCUCAGACCAUGACCUUUUCUCGAUCGAUAUGCCCACCAUCUUCCUUCUACCUGCUAAAGACAACCCCCGCCCACAGCAGGAUGCUGCCACCACCUUGCAUCGCCAUGGGGAUGGAGUGUUGUGUUUGUCCUUUGGGAUGACCUCUUAUUGUGAUGCAUCACUUCCUGUCACAAUAAAACAUGUUGAAAUGU
Molecule: non-coding RNA, 973 nt
Organism: Poecilia reticulata (guppy)
Lineage: Eukaryota; Metazoa; Chordata; Actinopteri; Cyprinodontiformes; Poeciliidae
Source: RefSeq, a predicted model, not a curated record